UUUUUAUUUUCAUUUUUCCUUAACUAACCCCUCAGCUUGACGACUCUUCCACGACCGACGCUACUAUUUCCAGUUUCGCCGGCCGCGUGUCUGCCGCCGUCCCAACCGCUUUGUCCCCCGAUCUCCGACGGCGACACCUCCAACGUCCAUCUCGAUUGAGACAAUAUGCUUCAAUUUUUUCAGAUCUAUAGCUUGUUUUGAAUCUUACCUUUUUGCAUUAUUUCAUCUUUUGAGUUUUGAGAGAUUUUGGUUAUGGCGACGAGGAAUAAGACCUUGGUAUUUAGGAAAUAUAGAGAUGCGUUGAAGAGCGUUAGGGUUCCAUCGGGUUUAUCGACUCAAUCAGCCACGACAAGCUCCGGUGGCGGUCCGGUGAUCGAAUUAGUGAACACGUCGCUUCUCCAAAAUCGCUCUUAUGCUCCACUAAGUACCGAAGAUCCUGGUAAUUCGAGUAAAGGUGCACUUACAGUCGGCCUGCCACCAGCUUGGGUGGAUGUAUCAGAAGAAAUAGCUGCAAAUGUGCAACGUGCACGCACGAAAAUGACCGAGUUAUCCAAGGCUCAUGCUAAAGCUUUGAUGCCUUCAUUUGGAGAUGGUAAGGAAGAUCAACGCAUGAUUGAGUCUCUAACUCAAGAGAUAACAAAUCUUAUAAAGAAAUCAGAGAAGAAAUUACAAAGACUUUCUGCAGCUGGUCCUUCUGAGGAUUCAAAUGUGCGAAAAAAUGUGCAGCGCUCUCUUGCCACUGACCUUCAGAACCUCUCGAUGGAACUUCGAAAGAAACAGUCAACUUACUUGAAGCGCCUUGGGCAACAAAAAGAGGGUCACGAUGGUGUUGAUUUAGAGAUGAACCUAAACGGUAGUAGAGCUAGAAUGGAUGACGAAAAUUUGGACGACAUGGUCUUUAAUGAGUAUCAAAUGUCCAAGCUGAAAAAAAGCGAAGCAUUCACAGUAGAAAGGGAAAGAGAGAUCCAACAGGUUGUGGAAUCAGUAAAUGAGCUUGCUCAGAUUAUGAAGGAUUUGUCAGUACUUGUAAUAGACCAGUUUUCUCGAAGCAGGGUACUAUUGUUGAUAGGAUAGAUUACAACAUUCAGAAUGUUGCAACUACAGUUGAGGAGGGACUUAAGCAGCUGCAGAAGGCUGAGAGAACACAAAAGCACGGAGGGAUGGUGAUGUGUGCGACGACGCUUGUGAUCAUGUGCUUUAUCAUGUUGGUCCUACUAAUCCUCAAGGAGAUAUUGUAAUGAGUUGUUAGCAUAUGUAAUUUCCAAAAUUCAAUUAUUCUUAGCGCUCUCCCCUACAACUUUCACACACUUAUAAAUGGAGUCGUGUCGCCGAAAUGGUAAAGCUUUAAAUUGCCUCAGUUCAUACCUUAGAUCAAAUUCUCUUUUUCUUUUUUGAUCUAAUUCAAAAUUUUGUAAUGGGGGAGGAGCCUUUACUAAUGACUAGGGAAUGAAUGCCCUGGAAAUUGUAUAGAGGAUGCUGUUCUUUUGUCACAGACCUCUUACGAUUCUUUUGAUUUUCCCGUGGAGGUUGGUGGCCUUGUUUCACUGAUACUUCUCUACGGAGAGAGAGAGAUGAGGCAUUUCGAAUGUUUGUAUCGAGUUUUCAAUUUAAUUAUAUGAGAAAUGAGAUGAAUCAAUUAUAGUUUCUUUGCAUUUCA
This is an RNA transcript of Jatropha curcas, 1657 nucleotides long. It is a transcript of the gene named syntaxin-43, with no coding region annotated. NCBI's taxonomy places the organism in Eukaryota, Viridiplantae, Streptophyta, Magnoliopsida, Malpighiales, Euphorbiaceae. The record is from RefSeq and is a predicted model, not a curated record.